GGGGCGGAUCCAGGAAUUUGGAAAGGGGGGGCGAAGUUUAAAAAUUUCGCCGAGCGGAGCGAGGCAAAAAAAUUUUUGGACCCUUUUGGGCAAAAAAAAACAUAAAAUAAGUGUAAUAUGCACUAUUUAAACGGUUCCUGACUUGGGGCAUGUAUAUUUUAUAGUUGAUGUAAAGUGUAAGGGUUGGACAUGUUUUAUCGGCUGUAUUCUCCCUAUUAAUUGUCUAUAAUAAAAUGAUAGUAUUGAUCCAAAGCUAUUGUACUACUGAUAUAUUUGAUGUAAGACUCGUCAGUAAAAAAUAGACAUGGAAAUUCGAUGAAAUUUACAAUACGACCG
Molecule: long non-coding RNA, 336 nt
Filed under: Mytilus galloprovincialis (Mediterranean mussel)
Lineage: Eukaryota; Metazoa; Mollusca; Bivalvia; Mytilida; Mytilidae
Source: RNAcentral